GUGACAAUGUCGAUUGUGGACAGAAUGGAGACUGUAUUUAUGAUCACAACUACGGUGGAAUAAAAUGUAAAUGCCGCAACGGAUUCAUUGGAGAAAAAUGCGAUGAAGCGCUCUGUAAACAAAGGAAUUGCAGUGGGCAUGGCUAUUGCUUGUGGAACCAAUAUGUUCACGAAACAAAAUGCAUUUGCCUGGAUGGUUGGAACGGAUCGGAUUGUGAGAUUAGUCCCUGUGAGGGGAGGAACUGUAGUGGUCAUGGUUAUUGCUCUUGGGAUAAGUUUCUUAAGGCAACAAAAUGUGUUUGCGAAGACGGUUGGGGUGGAUUGGAUUGCCA
Uloborus diversus is the source of this 331-nucleotide long non-coding RNA. RefSeq lists it as uncharacterized. The transcript has 3 exons. The record is from RefSeq and is a predicted model, not a curated record. NCBI's taxonomy places the organism in Eukaryota, Metazoa, Arthropoda, Arachnida, Araneae, Uloboridae.